CAGCCACUCGGGACGGUAGCGCGCCGCUCAAACUUGUUGCGAGACCAAUUUUCCGAAAAUCCCAAAUUCUCUGCGGUGCAUUGGCCAGAGUUCACCCAAAACACCCACACUCACCAAACUCGACCGCACACUUUCGUUUCGCGAUUGAUUGCCAGCUCUCCGGAGACCCAGAGCCGCAAAAAAGAAUCAAAUACCAAACCACAAACCGAUCGAGUUCUAAAAAUCGAAUAACAAAGUACAACGCCUUCAAAACGGCAGCCACCAUUUCCAGCGCAGGAUUAGGAGGCCUAGGAGGAGACGUCGCCGCCUACGCUGAUCUCCACCAGCACUCGCACGCGCACCAUCCGAAUCCGCACCCGCAUCCUCAUCCCCACAGCUUCGCCGCCGACGGCUUCAAGCUGCGUUCCGAGGAGCCGGUGCCGGGCUUCAGCUCGGCCUCCCCCUGGCCCACCCUGGAGCUGGGCAUGGAGUGGGGGCGGAAGCUGUACCCCAGUGCCGUUUCCGGUCCGCGAUCCGCCGGCGGCCUGAUGUUCGGUCUGCCGCCCACCGCCGCCGUUGACAUGAACCAGCCGCGCGGACCGAUGACCUCGCUGAAGGAGGAGCCGCUGGGCAGCCGGUGGGCCAUGCAGCCCGUCGUCGACCAGAGCAACUUGGGCAUCGGCCGCGCCCACUUCGAGAAGCAGCCGCCCAGCAAUUUGCGCAAGUCGAACUUCUUCCACUUCGUGAUCGCCUUGUACGAUCGGGCUGGCCAGCCCAUCGAGAUCGAGCGGACGGCCUUCAUCGGGUUCAUCGAGAAGGACUCGGAGUCGGAUGCCACCAAGACGAACAAUGGCAUCCAGUACAGGCUGCAGUUGCUCUACGCCAAUGGAGCUCGCCAGGAGCAGGACAUAUUCGUGCGCCUCAUCGAUUCGGUGACCAAGCAGGCCAUCAUAUAUGAGGGUCAGGACAAGAAUCCCGAAAUGUGUCGGGUGCUCCUAACGCACGAGGUGAUGUGCAGCCGCUGCUGUGAUAAGAAGAGCUGUGGUAACCGCAACGAGACGCCAUCGGACCCCGUCAUUAUUGAUCGCUUCUUCCUCAAGUUCUUCUUGAAGUGCAAUCAAAACUGCCUGAAAAACGCCGGCAACCCGCGGGAUAUGCGCCGAUUUCAGGUGGUAAUCUCCACGCAGGUGGCCGUGGAUGGACCACUUUUGGCCAUCUCCGACAACAUGUUCGUGCACAACAACUCCAAGCACGGGCGGAGGGCCAAGCGGCUGGACACCACGGAAGGUACAGGCAACACAUCCCUGUCCAUUUCCGGUCACCCCCUAGCGCCCGACAGUACCUACGAUGGUCUCUAUCCACCACUGCCCGUGGCCACGCCCUGCAUCAAGGCGAUCUCGCCCAGCGAGGGCUGGACAACCGGUGGCGCCACCGUGAUCAUCGUGGGCGACAACUUCUUCGACGGCCUGCAGGUGGUCUUCGGCACCAUGCUGGUCUGGAGCGAGCUGAUCACCUCGCAUGCGAUCCGAGUGCAGACCCCGCCCAGGCACAUUCCCGGCGUGGUGGAGGUGACGCUAUCCUACAAGAGCAAACAGUUCUGCAAGGGAUCGCCCGGUCGCUUCGUCUAUGUCUCAGCUCUCAACGAACCCACAAUCGACUACGGUUUCCAGCGCCUGCAGAAGCUCAUUCCCCGGCAUCCCGGCGAUCCCGAGAAGCUACAGAAGGAGAUAAUCCUCAAGCGAGCUGCCGACUUGGUCGAGGCCUUGUAUUCCAUGCCCAGCAGAUCCCCGGGCGGAUCGACGGGCUUCAACUCGUAUGCCGGUCAACUGGCGGUCAGUGUGCAGGACGGUUCCGGCCAGUGGACCGAGGACGACUACCAGCGGGCCCAGUCGAGCAGCGUGAGUCCGCGUGGCGGCUACUGCAGCAGCGCCUCCACGCCCCACAGCUCGGGGGGAUCCUACGGAACCACGGCGGCCAGUGCAGCAGUGGCGGCCACGGCAAAUGGCUACGCACCUGCCCCCAACAUGGGCACACUCUCCUCCUCGCCCGGCAGCGUCUUCAACUCCACGUCAAUGUCCGCCGUGUCGUCGACGUGGCAUCAGGCGUUCGUGCAGCACCACCACGCGGCGACGGCCCACCCGCACCACCACUACCCACAUCCCCACCAGCCAUGGCACAAUCCAGCCGUGUCAGCAGCCACGGCGGCGGCCGUUUAAGCGAUUCCCGGACUCUAAUUCCGAUGCCAGCCCGGAGGAGCUGAAUGGAGGAUGAGGAUGAUGACCCAGGAUGAGCCGGACUUUGGGCCAGAGUAACGACAUUUUGUUGAAAUUAAAUGCUUCACGCCCAACACCACCCACAAAUCCACACGAAAACGCACACACGGACACACCAGACACCAUCUAUCAAUCCGAAUCUGCAAGGACGCCCACAAAUUCCGGGCGGAUGGGUGGUCGGCUGUGUGAAUGGGUCUACGAAAGCAAAUCUGAGCGUUCAAAACACACUUCCACCAUCAACCAACACCACAGACUACACACGAUUAACGGGGUCAGCAGCCUGAGUUUCAAUCCCUUCGCCCUGCCCACCUGCAACACACAGGGCUAUAGCAGCCAACUGGUGACGUCAACCAAAUAAUAUUACUACUAAAUGAGGCUAUUGGCAGGCCCCACACCCCCUCUCGGAGUCGCAGAUACCACGCCAAUCACAAGAAGCUCGAAAGUGCAAUAAACAAAAGAAAAUGGUUCCAAAAUUCAAAAACCUAUUGAUAUAGUUGUACAUUUUUUGAUUGAAUCCCGUUUUUAAUUUAAUUUCAAUACGCCUCGGUAAUAGAUUUAUACGAAUACGCAUAGAAUACCAUAUCAAAAUAAUGGAAAUCAUAUGAAAAGGGCAGGCAUAUCAUGCAGGGGCUCAAGAUCCCACAAGUUUAUAGCGGGCUAAUAUAAUACUAACAUAGCUUGACUAAAACACACAUUUUGUAAAUACUUAUCCCAAUUAAAUAAAUAAAACCUAAUAAUAAUCGGAACUGUGAAUAGAGGAAAUUAUACCAAUUUAUAUACCCAUGAUGAUCAGUACUAAUACGAAUCAAGAUAUACCAAAACAGAUACAAUUUGAACGAACCUUUGGACAUAACUAAAUGCUUGUAUACGACACUUUCUUGGAUUAGUAUCGAAAAAAACAAAAUAAAGUCAUGAAAAUACACUCUGCCAAUUGAGAGAACCGAAAUCAAAAUGUUAUAUACCUACAUAGAUAUACAGCCACAUUUUAGGUGACAUUUGCAGCAUAUCUAAGCGUAAUAUUACAACAAAUUUAUACCAAACUUUUGGCAAACAUAUCGUGCACUUAGCUCUAACAUCCAUCUCACGCGAAUCGACACACAUCACGUACUCGAACGUAUUUGUAUACUGCCCAUCAUAUCCACAAUUCAUUUCGAUCGAGCCACUCCCCCUCAACACCAAAUCAUCAUAAGAUACAUUAAUAUACAUUUCGCUAUUCAAGUCAGAGGGUUUGAUAAACUACCGAUUUGUUGACUAGAAUCUAAGCUAUGCAAGCGAUAUCUGGGGGUGCAUAUACUAUAUAUAUAGGCUUAAGUUUAUUGUUUAUUGCUCGAUUUGUAGGAGUUUUACUGUAAUUUGUAUUCGUAUUGUAUGAUAAUGUAUGCUUGCACUCCUAGAUCUACAAAAAAACAAAAGAAACCGAUACGAUAGUGACGCAUAUCUGUAAGAACCGCAUAAACAGCAGAACUUAGCCGCAAAAUCGAAUUGUAAAUUACAAUACAAUAAUUUAUAACAACAAUCUAGCAACGCUCUCUGUUUUGUAAAUCUUAACAAGUUAUUUAAAUAAAAUUUAUUUAAAAUAAACGUAAUAC
RNA transcript from Drosophila biarmipes, 3841 nucleotides. It is a transcript of the gene named transcription factor collier, with no coding region annotated. Lineage: Eukaryota; Metazoa; Arthropoda; Insecta; Diptera; Drosophilidae. The record is from RefSeq and is a predicted model, not a curated record. The transcript is spliced from 12 exons.